AGAGUUUGAUCAUGGCUCAGGAUGAACGCUGGCGGCGUGCCUAACACAUGCAAGUCGAGCGAUCUUCUUCGGAAGAGAGCGGCGGACGGGUGAGUAACGCGUGGGUAACCUGCCUCAUACACAUGGAUAACAUACCGAAAGGUAUGCUAAUACAAGAUGAUAUAAGGGAUUCGCAUGGAUUCUUAUCAAAGCUCCGGCGGUAUGAGAUGGACCCGCGUCUGAUUAGCUAGUUGGUAAGGUAACGGCUUACCAAGGCGACGAUCAGUAGCCGACCUGAGAGGGUGAUCGGCCACAUUGGAACUGAGACACGGUCCAAACUCCUACGGGAGGCAGCAGUGGGGAAUAUUGCACAAUGGGCGAAAGCCUGAUGCAGCAACGCCGCGUGAGCGAUGAAGGCCUUCGGGUCGUAAAGCUCUGUCCUCAAGGAAGAUAAUGACGGUACUUGAGGAGGAAGCCCCGGCUAACUACGUG
Molecule: ribosomal RNA, 471 nt
Filed under: uncultured bacterium
Lineage: Bacteria
Description: bacterial SSU rRNA
Rfam family: Bacterial small subunit ribosomal RNA
Source: RNAcentral